GUGAGGAAUAUUGCGCAAUGGAGGCAACUCUGACGCAGCCAUGCCGCGUGCAGGAAGAAGGCGCUACGCGUUGUAAACUGCUUUUAACCGGGAAGAAACCCCAGGACGUGUCCUGGGUUGACGGUACCGGAGGAAUAAGCACCGGCUAACUUCGUGCCAGCAGCCGCGGUAAUACGAAGGGUGCAAGCGUUAUCCGGAUUCAUUGGGUUUAAAGGGUGCGUAGGCGGAGCGUUAAGUCAGUGGUGAAAUCCUGCAGCUUAACUGUAGACUUGCCAUUGAUACUGGCGCUCUUGAGUGCGCUUGAAGUGGGCGGAAUGUGCCGUAUAGCGGUGAAAUGCUUAGAUAUGACACAGAACACCAAUUGCGAAGGCAGCUCACUAAGGCGAUACUGACGCUGAGGCACGAAAGCGUGGGGAUCGAACAGGAUUAGAAACCCGGGUAGUCC
RNAcentral lists this ribosomal RNA (445 nucleotides) under uncultured bacterium. RNAcentral describes it as "partial 16S ribosomal RNA". It matches the Rfam family "Bacterial small subunit ribosomal RNA", at positions 354 to 796 of the family's 1533-position model. The record is from RNAcentral.